Molecule: transfer RNA, 77 nt
Filed under: compost metagenome
Description: tRNA-Pro
Rfam family: tRNA
About the family: Transfer RNA (tRNA) molecules are approximately 80 nucleotides in length. Their secondary structure includes four short double-helical elements and three loops (D, anti-codon, and T loops).
Source: RNAcentral
AGGGACGUAGCUUAACUUGGUAGAGCACUCGGUUUGGGUCCGAGAGGUUGCAGAUUCGAAUUCUGUCGUCCCUACCA